Uloborus diversus is the source of this 534-nucleotide long non-coding RNA. RefSeq lists it as uncharacterized. Lineage: Eukaryota; Metazoa; Arthropoda; Arachnida; Araneae; Uloboridae. The record is from RefSeq and is a predicted model, not a curated record. The transcript has 3 exons.
GACGGAGCAUACGCAAAAUCAUUCCAGACUCUUUCAGACAGAGCGCGGAUCCUUCGAUUGCUUUAGCACUUUGAAUUCAUGAAGAUGGCUAUGACUUUGCUAAGUGUUGUUUUCCUUCUGGCUUUUUGCCAGAUUCACCAUCUAGAAGCGAAGCCGACGAAUUCAUUCAGUCUGCUAGAUUAUCUGAAAAAGGAAGGUAAUGAAGAUAUAUGUUGUUAUUUUCGAAUUAUCAGAACAAAGGAAGAGUGGAAUUUGAUGCAACUCCCAGGCGCCUCCGGGAUGAACCUAGAAGAUACCCCUGAUGAUGAUGGUAAGCUUCCAGUUUUCUUUACGAGCCCAGACAAGUUCCUAGCAGACAUCGAUUUUCCUCAAGGAGAUGAUAGAAACAUUCCGUACUCCGAGAUAUAAGGGCUACUUUGAACAACUUCGGCUCCUAGUGUUUAAGAAACAAGAAAACAAUGCUGAAAAAAGAAGAAAGAAUAAAGGACACUUUAGAUUUGUAGAAAUAUAUGAAUAAAUAUUAGCAUCAUAACA